Molecule: ribosomal RNA, 468 nt
Filed under: uncultured bacterium
Lineage: Bacteria
Description: partial 16S ribosomal RNA
Rfam family: Bacterial small subunit ribosomal RNA
Source: RNAcentral
GACGAACGCUGGCGGCGUGCUUAACACAUGCAAGUCGAACGGAAAGGCCCUGCUUUUGUGGGGUGCUCGAGUGGCGAACGGGUGAGUAACACGUGAGUAACCUGCCCUUGACUUUGGGAUAACUUCAGGAAACUGGGGCUAAUACCGGAUAGGAGCUCCUGCUGCAUGGUGGGGGUUGGAAAGUUUCGGCGGUUGGGGAUGGACUCGCGGCUUAUCAGCUUGUUGGUGGGGUAGUGGCUUACCAAGACUUUGACGGGUAGCCGGCCUGAGAGGGUGACCGGCCACAUUGGGACUGAGAUACGGCCCAGACUCCUACGGGAGGCAGCAGUGGGGAAUAGUGCACAAUGGGCGGAAGCAUGAUGCAGCAACGCCGCGUGCGGGAUGACGGCCUUCGGGUUGUAAACCGAUUUCGCCUGUGACGAAGCGUGAGUGACGGUAAUGGGUAAAGAAGCACCGGCUAACUACGUG